GCUACACAUGCAGUCGAACCGAGUGAGCAGCGCAAGCAAGCUUGCUGCUUUGCUGACGAGUGGCGGACGGGUGAGUAAUGUCUGGGAAACUGCCUGAUGGAGGGGGAUAACUACUGGAAACGGUAGCUAAUACCGCAUAACGUCGCAAGACCAAAGAGGGGGACCUUCGGGCCUCUUGCCAUCGGAUGUGCCCAGAUGGGAUUAGCUAGUAGGUGGGGUAACGGCUCACCUAGGCGACGAUCCCUAGCUGGUCUGAGAGGAUGACCAGCCACACUGGAACUGAGACACGGUCCAGACUCCUACGGGAGGCAGCAGUGGGGAAUAUUGCACAAUGGGCGCAAGCCUGAUGCAGCCAUGCCGCGUGUAUGAAGAAGGCCUUCGGGUUGUAAAGUACUUUCAGCGGGGAGGAAGGGAGUAAAGUUAAUACCUUUGCUCAUUGACGUUACCCGCAGAAGAAGCACCGGCUAACUCCGUGCCAGCAGCCGCGGUAAUACGGAGGGUGCAAGCGUUAAUCGGAAUUACUGGGCGUAAAGCGCACGCAGGCGGUUUGUUAAGUCAGAUGUGAAAUCCCCGGGCUCAACCUGGGAACUGCAUCUGAUACUGGCAAGCUUGAGUC
RNAcentral lists this ribosomal RNA (616 nucleotides) under Shigella flexneri. RNAcentral describes it as "bacterial SSU rRNA". It matches the Rfam family "Bacterial small subunit ribosomal RNA", at positions 48 to 648 of the family's 1533-position model. Lineage: Bacteria; Pseudomonadati; Pseudomonadota; Gammaproteobacteria; Enterobacterales; Enterobacteriaceae. The record is from RNAcentral.